GUAAGAAGCAAGCAGGGGCGAGUUUAUGAUCAGGAAGGUGGAUUCCCCAGGGUGAGGCUCACCCAUUGCACUCCGGGCGUUGCUGAUCCCUGUGAUUUCCCCAAAUGUGGGAAAUUCAAUUACGUAAUUUAUGGUAGUGGGGGACUAUGUGCGUACUCUCCCCUG
Suncus etruscus (white-toothed pygmy shrew) is the source of this 165-nucleotide small nuclear RNA. RefSeq annotates it as U1 spliceosomal RNA. NCBI's taxonomy places the organism in Eukaryota, Metazoa, Chordata, Mammalia, Eulipotyphla, Soricidae. The transcript has a single exon. The record is from RefSeq and is a predicted model, not a curated record.